UCCAGGAGCCGCGCAGGCUGCCUUCGGCGGGCAGCGGCCCCGCGGAAGGUCCCAGUGGGAAGCUGUGGGCACGUGGGGGCCCGAGCAGGGCUGCCCGCGCUGCCCUCGGGAGGGGCCGGGCGCUUCGGCUGCCGUGGCUUCUCGGGGCCACCCGGUCAUCGGACGUGGCCCGCGGAGCGUGCGUCAUCCAGCGCUCAGCUCGCGGCCUCGUCGGGCAGCUGUGUAACAGGAUUCUCACAGGGCACCUCCCUGCGUGGAGAAAGCACGCCCACCCUCCGUCCCGCGCGUCAGGACCGCCCCCCACGGCACGAGCCCCUCCUCCCCUUCCUUCCGGGGCCCAGGGACCAGCUUUGGGGCCCGUGCCACUCACACUCCAGACGUCAGACGCGUGUGUCUCUGGGACGGGCUCUCACGCCUGCAUCCUGGGCAGCCGGGCCCUCCGGGUGCUGGGCGCCUGCAGCGCUGUUGCAGGCGGGGCUGCCGUCGCUAACCGCGUGACGCGGGCUGAGUCGGAGGAGAACUGCCUGGCUCCACGGGGCCUGCUCUGCUCCCCGCGCGGCGCCCCCUUUCCAGCAGUGACGGUCUCGGUGUGUCGCCUUGGCCUCUAAGAUCUAGAUGCAUAACCUCAGAAGCCCUAGAGCUUUGAAACCGAAAACCAAAGCCCUACGCAGCUCAGUGGGCAGACAGCCCAGCCUCCAAAGUCUGAAAGUUGGCUUUGACCACUGAUGUCUGGGUUCUCGUCGCUUUUGUGGAGCGGCAGGUAUUCAGAGGGCCUCCUCCUGUCUCUCCAGAACUGCUUCUCCAGCCGUUGUUCUUUGGUUUAGCACAGUAAAUGCUGGCUCUUUUCUGGGUCAAAACCCUUUUCAGAUGUAAUGGAAGCUACAGAAAAACGUGGACGUGCACGCGCGCGCACUCUCCGAUACAUUUGGUUAUAAUUUAAUUCUGUGUGUGGAUUUGCGGUUUUGAAAACUUGGUUUUAGAGCGUUCAGUGACGGUCUCGAGGACAGAAGGUGCCCACGAUAGAAUCUUUCCGAUCUCCUCUUCACCGCUUGCUGGCUUAACUAGCGUUGUCUCCUUUUUCUCUUUUUAAAAAAUGGUGAAAUACACAUAUAACUUCCCAUUUUAGCUGUUUUUAAGUGUAUAAUUAAGCGGCGUUAGGUACCUUCACAAUGUUGUGUGGCCAUCGUCACCGCCCAUCUCCAGAACUUUCCAUCGUCCCAAACUGAAACUCUGUCCCCAUUAAACACUAGCUUCCCCUUCAUCCCCACCCCCUGGAGCCCCUGGCCCCCACCAUCUACUUCCUGCCUCUGUGAAUUUGACCUCUCCAGGCACCUCAUGUGAGUAGAAUCUUAUAGCAUUUGCCCUUUUGUGACGGGCCUAUUUCACUUAGUAUUACAUCCUCAAGGUUCAGCCACAUUGAAUUUCCUGAAUUUUUUCCUUCCUUUCAGAAUUUCCUUCCUUUUUAAGGCUGAAUCAUAUUCUGGUGUAUGUAUGGACCACAUUUUGUUUAUACAUCAGUGGGUAUACACUUGGUUUGCUUCCAGGUUUUGGUUAUUGUGAAUAAUGCUGCUACGAACAUGUAUACAUGUCUCAUGGAGACCUUGCUUUCAGUUCUUUGGGGUACGUACCCAGUAGAAUUGCUGGAUCAUAUGAUAAUUCUUUUUAAAAAAUUUGAGGAGCUACCAUAAUGUUUUCCACCAUGGCUGUACCUUUUUAUGUUUCUGCCGACGGUGCAUAAGGGUGCCAAUUUCUCCACAUCCUCACCAACACUUAACUGUGAUUUUUGUUUGUUUUGUUUUUGGAUGGCGGCCAUCCUGAUGGGUGUGAGGGGGCGUCUCAUAGUUGUGCUUUUCCCUGGUGAUCAGUGAUGAUAAAUUGCUCUUGCAAAAGACUGGAGGACACUGGGAAAGGGAAGAGACCGGAGGCCCGGAGGCAACUAGAAGCCUGUUCAGAUUUCCGGGAGGGACAGGAAUCCGCCGGCGGGGACGGUGACCGAGCAGCGUGAACGCCUGUGCAGCCAAGUGAACGAAGCAGAUUCUAAAUUAUUGCAUAUCAACACUCAUUCCACCUGUUGUACGUGAGGAGAAAAGGUCAGUUCUGCAGGUAAGUAUCCCUAAGUUUGCUUAGGUAUAAAAGUAUGAGCUAAAAACGUACACAGUUUGAGAUACAGUUUGUUAAAAAUACAAGUGCGUGCCAGCACGUGGUACAUCUGAACAAACCUGUUCGGGGGUAUUUUAAGGAGCUCAACAGAUAAAUGUCUCCAGUAGACAAUCAUCAGCCUAUCACUCAAUCACUCGUGUUGAGAGAGUGAAGGUGUACCCACACGGCAGCAGCUGGGUCACUGGGAAGUUGCCACAGGUCGAGGCUUUUGAGACGGCACAGGUAAGGCUGAAGGUGUUGAGCCCCACUUUAAAAUUGUGAAGUCGUGGGCGAUUCCCUUCCCCUUGGUAGGAGUAACCCCAUGCGGUUCCACCCUCAGAGUUGGGAGAACACCUAAAGUAAUGACGUCUUCAAUGUGUGUAACCAACGUCAGAGCCUUACGGGAAUGCUGAGAAUUCCUGGGAUGGGGAGUUCACUAACUCUUUUAAUACAGGUGCUCCACUUAAACUGUGUUUGAGAAUUAAACUGUAGAGACUGUGCAAUUGGCGAGUAGACUUUGGAGCAGAUCACAACUCCUUCUAGGAAGACAUCUCAGACGUUGCUCUGGAGGCAAAUCCAGUGUUUGAGGAACACACCUGAUGAGCGGUGACGUGAGGACAGUGCUGAACCUCUGUGACAGUAUCGUUCUUGACUAUAUUAAUAAAUGUAUAUUAUAUAUUCAUGUUAGUAAUUACUGAUAAGAUGGUAGGCUAAAUGUAUAUUAUAUAUUCAUGUUAGUAAUUACUGAUAAGAUGGUAGGCGCCAGUAUGCUUCUGUACCUACAACCCAACAGGAUGUGUAUUAGAACCACACCUGGAAUAGAAGCAGGAUAUAUAUAUGGGUUUUUGUGGUAUUAAUGAUUCUGGCUGGUUGGUGCCUGCCUGUUUCUAGUAAUUGCUAAAUAUUCUGAAUAUGCCUCUGCCCAGGAAUUUAUUUAUUACCUUGACAGAAAAUGGCUACCUUCCAGAAAUUAUUUCUUCAGGAGAAAAUUUACUAGAAAAUAUUUUUGCCUUGAAAUUACUUAAAAUGUGAUCCAGUUUAAUGCAAAUCAUACAAAUUAUACAAAAAAAUGUAAAACAACAAAGGACCACUCAAUUCUAAGUUCAAAAGUACAUUUAUUUAAAAUGUGGGCAAGAUAUCAAUAUAAAAGAAAAGAGUGUAAGAAAUAAAAAUAAAAGUACAAAACAUUUCAAAUCUUUAACAUCCAUACUUUAGAGAUAGCAAGGUCUUUAUUUACACCAUUUUAUUUGCAGCUAAAGUUCCAUUAACAACAGUGUUGUGAAAACAUUUAAAAACCCGGCAAAUGAAUCAUAAAACCUGACGUGGGCUCUUAAAGUCAUAUAAUACAAAACAUAAUUUAUGUUUCCUCAGAAUAAAAUUGCACAUCUUAAUAAGAUGCAGUAUAUUUAAUAUAUUUGUCUUCCUGCUUUACAAUGCUUGUCCCCGAAGAAAGCAGCUGGAAAACAAGGGCGUCUGAAGGGAGCAGGGGCUGCUCCAUCCGGCAGCUGACACAGCCAGACCCGUGCACCGGGCUCCAGUCACCAGCGCAGAUGUGUCAGUUAAAUUUAUAUGUAAGCUCGUUGAGGAAAACAACUGCCAAACAACGCAAACUAGAGACAGCAUCCACUACAGGCCGCACGCCGAGGUGGUGAGCUUUGGGCGCCCAAGCCCUCGCCAACCCCUGCACCUCUGAACCAUCCACCCGGGGCUCCAGCUGUCCUGGGGCAGAAUGACUCGGGCUCCUUCAGAUGCAAGAAAAGGGACCCUGAGGUGACACCCACCAACCACCCAAAGUACCUUAAAGAGCGGAGACACGCGUGCCCUCCUCAAGGACUCUUCCAGACUGAAGGAGAAAAGCACCUCAGCCUCGGCAUCUCGGAGAAGGUAGUUUUGCUCAUCUGGAAAAGAGAACAGCACCGUCCGAACAGUGCACGGCACCCGGAUUCACCGUGCCACCCGCUCCAGGCUGCCCCCAGUCAGGGAUCUAGUUCCCUGACCAGGGAUGGCACCUGGGCCCCCUGCAUUGGGAGCACGGAGUCUUAACCACUGGACGGCCAGGGAAGUCCCUGAAGUGAUAUGCCACUGUGCAAACUAAUAAAUCAAUCAACAGACUCAGUUCCACACCUGGGCUAGAAGACGCUGCGGUCCCUUCCAACCACUCGCCUUUGGAGAACAGAGAUGACACAGGUGGCCAGCAGCUGUUUGUCAGACAUCUGCUCUGGAUAAUCCGCAAUUGCAAACACACAGCCCAAGUUCAGUAUGAAUGCGUGAAGCGAGUCACGCCUGACCAUCACGCACCCACCGGUGCGGCGAGGACCUCUGGCAUAUACUGCUGCAAACGUAGCUGCUCGCCUGUCUACGUUAAGUGACCGAGAACGUGAAACCAACGGUUCCUGCCUGGGCACUGAGCAUCCCGAGUCGGUCCCUGCGGCAGCCUGAUGUUCUAUGGACACCAGUGCUCACUUCAGGGUAUGGCGUCCCAAAGUACCAAAGAAAUCUAGCUGUUCCGCCCCCCUAACUGUAUCCUUUGUUAGGUAACGAGACCCCCAUUCCCCGUUUUCUAGGAGUUAUUUUGGCAUGAAUCCUUACCCUAGCUGCAAACACUCUCCAAGUAAGUACAGGACUUUUGGGAGAAAAAGAAGGAAGA
This is a long non-coding RNA of Physeter macrocephalus (sperm whale), 4786 nucleotides long. RefSeq lists it as uncharacterized. NCBI's taxonomy places the organism in Eukaryota, Metazoa, Chordata, Mammalia, Artiodactyla, Physeteridae. The transcript is spliced from 8 exons. The record is from RefSeq and is a predicted model, not a curated record.